RNAcentral lists this ribosomal RNA (406 nucleotides) under uncultured bacterium. Its description in RNAcentral is "partial 16S ribosomal RNA". It matches the Rfam family "Bacterial small subunit ribosomal RNA", at positions 29 to 526 of the family's 1533-position model. The record is from RNAcentral.
AUUGAACGCUGGCGGCAGGCUUAACACAUGCAAGUCGAGCGAGCGGCGGACGGGUGAGUAACGUCUGGGCAACUGCCUGAUGGAGGGGGCUAACUACUGGAAACGGUAGCUAAUACCGCAUACCAUCAGAUGUGCCCAGAUGGGAUUAGCUAGUGGGUGGGGUAAUGGCUCACCUAGGCGACGAUCCCUAGCUGGUCUGAGAGGCGGACCAGCAAAAUGGGAACUGAGACACGGUCCAGACUCCUACGGGAGGCAGCAGUGGGGAAGAUUGCAAAAUGGGCGCAAGCCUGAUGCAGCCAUGCGGCGGGUGGGAAGAAGGCCUUCGGGUUGUAAAGCACUUUCAGCGAGGAGGCGUUACUCGCAGAAGAAGCACCGGCUAACUCCGUGCCAGCAGCCGCGGUAAUAC